RNAcentral lists this ribosomal RNA (319 nucleotides) under uncultured bacterium. Its description in RNAcentral is "bacterial SSU rRNA". It matches the Rfam family "Bacterial small subunit ribosomal RNA", at positions 198 to 507 of the family's 1533-position model. The record is from RNAcentral.
ACCGUAAGGCCUCGCGCGAUUGGAGCGGCCGAUGUCGGAUUAGCUAGUUGGUGAGGUAAAGGCUCACCAAGGCGACGAUCCGUAGCGGGUCUGAGAGGAUGAUCCGCCACACGUGGGACUGAGACGACCGGCCCAGACCUCCGUACGGGAGGCAGCAGGUGGGGAAUUUUGGACAAUGGGCGCAAGCCUGAUCCAGCCAUGCCGCGUGCGGGAAGAAGGCCUUCGGGUUGUAAACCGCUUUCGGACAGAAAGAAAUCGCAUGGACUAAUACUCUGUGUGGAUGACGGUACUGUAAGAAGAAGCACCGGCUAACUACGUG